UUUUGGGGAACAAAAGGUGCUUUAUUAGGUGAGAAAAGUUUCUUUUUGGGGCAAAAAGUAACUUUUUGGGGAGGAAAAAUCGCUUUUUGGAGUGGAAAAGUUGCGUUUGGGAGGGGAGAAAAGUCAGGUUUAGGGGACAAAAGGUGCUUUAUUGGGAGAGAAGACACUCUUGGGUGAGAAAAGUUACUUGGAGGGGAGGAAGCUACUUUUAAGGGAAGAAAAAUCACAUUUUGGGGGAUAAGAGUCACUAUUGCAGAGGGAAAAGUUGGUUUUGGGGGACAAAAGUUACUUUUGGGGGACAAAAGGCAGUUUGGGGAUGGAAAGUCCCUUUUGAGGGCAGGAAAGUUACUUUUAGGGGAAGAAAAGUCACUUUUGAGGGACAAAAAUUGCUUUUUCAGGGAGAAAAGACACUUGGUUUUGAGGGGGAAGUUACUUUUGGGAGAGGAAAAGUCAUUUUGGGGUGAAGAAAAGCCACUUUCAGGAGGAGAAAAGUUGCUUUUGGGGGACAAACAUCCUUUUUGGAGGGGGAGCAAAGUUUUGGGGGGCGGGGAAAGUUACCUUGGGAAAUAAAAGCCACUUUUGUGGGGGAAAGAAGUUGCAUGUUUGGGAGAGAAGUCCCUUUUAGGGGGAGGAAACUAUUUGGGGAUGGAGACAAGUUAUUUUUGGGGAAGGAAAAGUCACUUUUUUGUUGAUAAAAGCAACUUCUGGGGGGGGGAGAAAAGUUCCUUUCUAGUGACAAAAGUCCCUCUUGGGGAGAGCAGAGCUGCUUUUGGGGGAGAAAAGUCCCUUUCUGGAGACAAAAGUAGACACACUGCUGAUGGCUCCUGCUCCCAGCCAGCAAGCAAAGCCCUCAACUGUCUCAUGGGUCACCCGCAGGAUGCCAAUGGGGUUUGUGGCACCAGUGAUUGGAAGAAC
Molecule: long non-coding RNA, 915 nt
Organism: Pezoporus occidentalis (night parrot)
Lineage: Eukaryota; Metazoa; Chordata; Aves; Psittaciformes; Psittacidae
Exons: 3
Source: RefSeq, a predicted model, not a curated record